CCUACGGGCGGCAGCAGUAGGGAAUCUUCCACAAUGGGCGAAAGCCUGAUGGAGCAACGCCGCGUGGGUGAAGAAGGUCUUCGGAUCGUAAAACCCUGUUGUUAGAGAAGAAAGUGCGUGAGAGUAACUGUUCACGUUUCGACGGUAUCUAACCAGAACGCCACGGCUAACUACGUGCCAGCAGCCGCGGUAAUACGUAGGUGGCAAGCGUUAUCCGGAUUUGUUGGGCGUAAAGGGAACGCAGGCGGGCUUUUAAGUCUGAUGUGAAAGCCUUCGGCUUAACCGGAGUAUUGCAUUGGAAACUGGGAGACUUGAGUGCAGAAGAGGAGAGUGGAACUCCAUGUGUAGCGGUGAAAUGCGUAGAUAUAUGGAAGAACACCAGUGGCGAAAGCGGCUCUCUGGUCUGUAACUGACGCUGAGGUUCGAAAGCGUGGGUAGCAAACAGGAUUAGAUACCCCGGUAGUC
Molecule: ribosomal RNA, 465 nt
Filed under: uncultured bacterium
Lineage: Bacteria
Description: partial 16S ribosomal RNA
Rfam family: Bacterial small subunit ribosomal RNA
Source: RNAcentral